This 93-nucleotide microRNA precursor is filed under the name Propithecus coquereli (Coquerel's sifaka). Its description in RNAcentral is "miRNA (ENSPCOG00000011558.1)". The record is from RNAcentral. Lineage: Eukaryota; Metazoa; Chordata; Mammalia; Primates; Indriidae.
GGAGGAUUGCUUGAGCCCAGGAGUUCGAGGCUGCAGUGAGCUAUGAUGAUGCCACUGCACUCCAGCCUGAGUGACAGAGCAAGACCCUGUCUC